GAAUGAACGCUAGCUACAGGCUUAACACAUGCAAGUCGAGGGGCAGCAUGGUCUUAGCUUGCUAAGGCCGAUGGCGACCGGCGCACGGGUGAGUAACACGUAUCCAACCUGCCGUCUACUCUUGGACAGCCUUCUGAAAGGAAGAUUAAUACAAGAUGGCAUCAUGAGUCCGCAUGUUCACAUGAUUAAAGGUAUUCCGGUAGACGAUGGGGAUGCGUUCCAUUAGAUAGUAGGCGGGGUAACGGCCCACCUAGUCUUCGAUGGAUAGGGGUUCUGAGAGGAAGGUCCCCCACAUUGGAACUGAGACACGGUCCAAACUCCUACGGGAGGCAGCAGUGAGGAAUAUUGGUCAAUGGGCGAGAGCCUGAACCAGCCAAGUAGCGUGAAGGAUGACUGCCCUAUGGGUUGUAAACUUCUUUUAUAAAGGAAUAAAGUCGGGUAUGGAUACCCGUUUGCAUGUACUUUAUGAAUAAGGAUCGGCUAACUCCGUGCCAGCAGCCGCGGUAAUACGGAGGAUCCGAGCGUUAUCCGGAUUUAUUGGGUUUAAAGGGAGCGUAGAUGGAUGUUUAAGUCAGUUGUGAAAGUUUGCGGCUCAACCGUAAAAUUGCAGUUGAUACUGGAUAUCUUGAGUGCAGUUGAGGCAGGCGGAAUUCGUGGUGUAGCGGUGAAAUGCUUAGAUAUCACGAAGAACUCCGAUUGCGAAGGCAGCCUGCUAAGCUGCAACUGACAUUGAGGCUCGAAAGUGUGGGUAUCAAACAGGAUUAGAUACCCUGGUAGUCCACACGGUAAACGAUGAAUACUCGCUGUUUGCGAUAUACUGCAAGCGGCCAAGCGAAAGCGUUAAGUAUUCCACCUGGGGAGUACGCCGGCAACGGUGAAACUCAAAGGAAUUGACGGGGGCCCGCACAAGCGGAGGAACAUGUGGUUUAAUUCGAUGAUACGCGAGGAACCUUACCCGGGCUUAAAUUGCAGAUGAAUUACGGUGAAAGCCGUAAGCCGCAAGGCAUCUGUGAAGGUGCUGCAUGGUUGUCGUCAGCUCGUGCCGUGAGGUGUCGGCUUAAGUGCCAUAACGAGCGCAACCCUUGUUGUCAGUUACUAACAGGUUCCGCUGAGGACUCUGACAAGACUGCCAUCGUAAGAUGUGAGGAAGGUGGGGAUGACGUCAAAUCAGCACGGCCCUUACGUCCGGGGCCACACACGUGUUACAAUGGGGGGUACAGAGGGCCGCUACCACGCGAGUGGAUGCCAAUCCCCAAAACCUCUCUCAGUUCGGACUGGAGUCUGCAACCCGACUCCACGAAGCUGGAUUCGCUAGUAAUCGCGCAUCAGCCACGGCGCGGUGAAUACGUUCCCGGGCCU
This 1359-nucleotide ribosomal RNA is filed under the name uncultured bacterium. Its description in RNAcentral is "bacterial SSU rRNA". It matches the Rfam family "Bacterial small subunit ribosomal RNA", at positions 27 to 1381 of the family's 1533-position model. The record is from RNAcentral.